UACGAAGGGGGCUAGCGUUGUUCGGAAUUACUGGGCGUAAAGCGCACGUAGGCGGAUUUGUUAGUCAGGGGUGAAAUCCCGGGGCUCAACCUCGGAACUGCCUUUGAUACUGCAAAUCUCGAGUCCGGAAGAGGUGAGUGGAAUUCCUAGUGUAGAGGUGAAAUUCGUAGAUAUUAGGAAGAACACCAGUGGCGAAGGCGGCUCACUGGUCCGGCACUGACGCUGAGGUGCGAAAGCGUGGGGAGCAAACAGG
RNAcentral lists this ribosomal RNA (253 nucleotides) under uncultured bacterium. RNAcentral's name for it is "partial 16S ribosomal RNA". It matches the Rfam family "Bacterial small subunit ribosomal RNA", at positions 524 to 776 of the family's 1533-position model. The record is from RNAcentral.